AUUCGUAUGCACGCACACAUAGGCACACGGAUAAUUGGCGAAUUCCCUCGCAAUUCCCUAAGACCACAUGUGGAUUUUAUUACUGUGGGGUCAGAGUAAACGGUAAACGACGGAGCCCGUGGAUCGAUCAGCAAACGCUACGAAGCUGGGAAACAAACGAAGCAGCAACGAGGGUCAAUCCUGAGAAACUGCAACAUGUUGGAACAGAGUGACAUUACAGUACACAGCCGACAGGAGGCAUAACGGGUAAUGUGUCAUGCAUUACUCUCCGGGUUUUCCUCCCCCUCCCCCCGGAAAAGGAAAAGAAGACGGUCUCCACAAGGGGGCCGUUUGCCUUGGGAAAGGUGGGGGGCGCACUGCAUUGUGGGAGAAUACAUCAUGAGCUUGGCGGGAGAUGGACAAUGAAGGGGACAUCCGCUCUGAGAGUCAUUCCCAUGUCUACGUGCGUCUUUCCUCUUCUCUCUUCCCCAUUUUCCCUUCGACCGGCUUCCUCUCAGUCCACGUCAGGCCCUUUCGCUUUUACACGAUCUGGUUUCAAAGCUUGAAAAACCAGGGCGGUAACAGCGCGAUGACGUCACGCUGUGUCAGGCCCCCGUCAUGUGACCCGAGGGAGGAGCGCAGCAGGAACGGCCUGAAGCAGCCCUGUGUAGCGCACCUGCAGAGUCCUGCAGCCACAAAACUGCACAGUCAUGCGAAAACACAGGCCAAAUCUCCCGCGGGAGAAGCCGAUAAUCCAGCAGGACAACCCAUCCCGCGCCACAGACCCUGCACAGCUAACACAUCUGCUGGCUUUAUAGAAAUCCAGCACAGACCUUUUUGCAAACAAAAGAAUUUGCCUGAGAGAGAAGCAUUAUGGGAGAACAAAGACCACCUUCUGCAGAAGGACCCCCGAGCUCGCCUGAGAAGUGUCUCUGUCACACAGCUCAUGUGUCAGAGCUUCAA
Brienomyrus brachyistius is the source of this 942-nucleotide long non-coding RNA. RefSeq lists it as uncharacterized. The record is from RefSeq and is a predicted model, not a curated record. NCBI's taxonomy places the organism in Eukaryota, Metazoa, Chordata, Actinopteri, Osteoglossiformes, Mormyridae. The transcript has 3 exons.